UACAGAGGCCCCAAGCGUUAUCCGGAAUCACUGGGCGUAAAGGGUGUGUAGGCGGUUUUGUUAGUCUCCUGUUAAAGCUCCCGACCUAAUCGGGAAAAUGCAGGGGAAACGGCAAAACUUCGAGGAUGCGAGAGGUAAAUGGAACUCAUGGAGUAGGGGUGAAAUCCGUUGAUAUCAUGGGGAACACCAAAAGCGAAGGCAAUUUACUGGCGCAUUCCUGACGCUGAAACACGAAAGCGUAGGUA
RNAcentral lists this ribosomal RNA (245 nucleotides) under uncultured bacterium. RNAcentral's name for it is "partial 16S ribosomal RNA". It matches the Rfam family "Bacterial small subunit ribosomal RNA", at positions 524 to 767 of the family's 1533-position model. The record is from RNAcentral.